Molecule: long non-coding RNA, 959 nt
Organism: Callorhinus ursinus (northern fur seal)
Lineage: Eukaryota; Metazoa; Chordata; Mammalia; Carnivora; Otariidae
Source: RefSeq, a predicted model, not a curated record
CCAGAGCAUCGAAGCAGGGCUCUGCCUUCUGUGAGUCUGAGUCCAGCUGCUGGAAGCCAAACUUCCUGCAGAGUGAGAACCCAGUAGCCCUUUCUGAGAUGGGGGAGACUGAGACACGGCAUCUUGAAGAAGUGGUUUGCCCAAGAUCAUAGGAGUAGCAAGUGGUGGAAGUAAGGCCAAGUCUCAGGGCUGUCUGACUCUACACUCACAUUAAUUCCCUUCACCGGUGCUGGUGUGCUUCUUGGCAUAAGCAAGGACCCCGUGGCACUGGGGACACAGGGACAUUCAGCAGCCGGCCUGCCCCAUUCCCCUGGGCCCACAGAGCCAUGUGUCCAGAUCCAUGGUUGGGAUCAGUAGUUGCUCAAGAAAUACCCGUUGUGUGGAUGUGUGGACAAGCCCGUCCUGUGCUCUGUGAUGGGAAAGAAGAAUUCAGACUGGCGAGUGCGGGGGUGUCUCCUAGAAGGUGGGGACACUGGCUUCUCGUUCUUCAUCCCUGGCUCCUGCCACAAGCUGGCUUCAUGGACACUCGCUGAGCUCUGCCACCACGUGCUGCCAAGCGUUGCCCUCAAAGAUCACAUGCUCAUCUCAGGAGGUCGACCAGAAACCCUGACGCCCAGAACUCUCACUGAAAGCCUUAACCAAAAUGAUCCCGGAAAACUUACCUAAGGAACACAAUUCUUAUUUUUCUCUAAAAGAGAAGGAAAGGGGCUAUAAGUGAUUGGCCCAAGUUCUCCAGCUAAGAAGCGACAGAAUCAGGGAUCUCUGAUAAUGUGGGAAAACUCAUCCAAACCUGCCCCUCAGCCACCAGCCCCUCUGUUUGCACGGAAGCCAAUUCAGUGUGUUUUAAUAACGCACCAUUCUGCUCAGGGCCAGGCCAGGGCCAGGACACCAAGGAACCAGGCCUGGACCCUGCCUGAUGUCACGUGUGUCAGCUCCCCAGUCGUCGAGGGCUGGCCUGA